UAUAUUAAGUUGUUGCAGUUAAAAAGCUCGUAGUUGAAUUUCGGGAUCAGUACGCUGGUCAUGCCUUUGGUAUGCACUGGUGUCACUGGUUUCUCCCUUCUGAAGAACCGUGAUGUCAUUAAUUUGGUGUCGCGGGGAAUCAGGACUGUUACUUUGAAAAAAUUAGA
RNAcentral lists this ribosomal RNA (167 nucleotides) under Glomeraceae sp. Its description in RNAcentral is "partial small subunit ribosomal RNA". Lineage: Eukaryota; Fungi; Glomeromycota; Glomeromycetes; Glomerales; Glomeraceae. The record is from RNAcentral.